Molecule: ribosomal RNA, 505 nt
Filed under: uncultured bacterium
Lineage: Bacteria
Description: partial 16S ribosomal RNA
Rfam family: Bacterial small subunit ribosomal RNA
Source: RNAcentral
GACGAACGCUGGCGGCGUGCCUAAUACAUGCAAGUAGAACGCACAGUUUAUACCGUAGCUUGCUACACCAUAGACUGUGAGUUGCGAACGGGUGAGUAACGCGUAGGUAACCUGCCUGGUAGCGGGGGAUAACUAUUGGAAACGAUAGCUAAUACCGCAUAAUAUUAAUUAUUGCAUGAUAAUUAAUUGAAAGGUGCAAUUGCACCACUACCAGAUGGACCUGCGUUGUAUUAGCUAGUAGGUGAGGUAACGGCUCACCUAGGCGACGAUACAUAGCCGACCUAAGAGGGUGAUCGGCCACACUGGGACUGAGACACGGCCCAGACUCCUACGGGAGGCAGCAGUAGGGAAUCUUCGGCAAUAGACGAAAGUCUGACCGAGCAACGCCGCGUGAGUGAAGAAGGUUGUCGGAUCGUAAAGCUCUGUUGUAAGAGAAGAACGGGUGUGAGAGUGGAAAGUUCACACUGUGACGGUAUCUUACCAGAAAGGGACGGCUAACUACGUG